Myotis lucifugus (little brown bat) is the source of this 103-nucleotide small nuclear RNA. NCBI's taxonomy places the organism in Eukaryota, Metazoa, Chordata, Mammalia, Chiroptera, Vespertilionidae. The record is from Ensembl.
GUGCUCACUUUGCAGCACAUGUACUGAAAUCGGAACUAUACAGCGAUUAGCACAGCCCCUGAACAAGGAUGACAUGCAAAUUCAUGAAGCAUUCUGUAUUUUA